ACUCACGCAGUUGAGUGUGCCUAUAAUCCCAGCUACUUGGGAAGUUGAAGCAAGAGGAUUGCUUGAGUCUAGGAGUCUGAGGUCAGCGUAGGCAACACAGUGAGACCUCAUUUCCA
This 116-nucleotide small RNA is filed under the name Marmota monax (woodchuck). The record is from RNAcentral. Lineage: Eukaryota; Metazoa; Chordata; Mammalia; Rodentia; Sciuridae.